UAUGGGUGCUAGAGACCCCAGUUUUCUGGAACAACAGAAAGAGCCCUCAACCACUGAGACAUCUCUCUAGUACCUCAAAUGGUUUUAAAAGGAAGUUAUUUUGAGCUAGAACAUUCUAAUUUGGUUAUGGUCAUUCAUCUGAAAAUCCUUCCUUAGUACCCCACUUAGAGGAAACAGCAUGAGAGAUAGAGAGUAAACUGGAAUGAGGAGAAACCCAUGGUUAUUCAGGCAGAAUUUCCGUCCACAAUUGUCCUUUCGCUUUUGGAAACUCUGAGUCUCUGUCUGGACUGCUGAAGCCCAGUCUCCGCUGAUGAAAGAGGCCUUCUCACCCUCUUCAGCAAAACGAUGCGUGGGCAAGAUGGAUACAGUGUUGCCCUCCAGCAAUCCCAGCACUCCAGAGACCAAGGGAGGCUUACUGCGGGUUCAAACCCAGCCUGGGCUACAUAAUAAGACCACAGCUCAAAAACAAAUAAAACUCCAUGAACUCCCCUCCCACACACCGAAGU
Myodes glareolus (Bank vole) is the source of this 506-nucleotide non-coding RNA. Lineage: Eukaryota; Metazoa; Chordata; Mammalia; Rodentia; Cricetidae. The record is from RefSeq and is a predicted model, not a curated record.